RNAcentral lists this ribosomal RNA (253 nucleotides) under uncultured bacterium. RNAcentral describes it as "partial 16S ribosomal RNA". It matches the Rfam family "Bacterial small subunit ribosomal RNA", at positions 524 to 776 of the family's 1533-position model. The record is from RNAcentral.
UACGAAGGGGGCUAGCGUUGCUCGGAAUUACUGGGCGUAAAGGGCGCGUAGGCGGUCUUGCAAGUCCUGUGUGAAAUCCCUCGGCUCAACUGAGGAACUGCACAGGAAACUGCUUGGCUUGAGUUCGGGAGAGGGAAGCGGAAUUCCGGGUGUAGCGGUGAAAUGCGUAGAUAUCCGGAGGAACACCGGUGGCGAAGGCGGCUUCCUGGACCGACACUGACGCUGAGGCGCGAAAGCGUGGGGAGCGAACAGG